This 994-nucleotide long non-coding RNA is filed under the name Aquila chrysaetos chrysaetos. RNAcentral's name for it is "lncRNA (ENSACCG00020011053.1)". The record is from RNAcentral. Lineage: Eukaryota; Metazoa; Chordata; Aves; Accipitriformes; Accipitridae.
CGGGUGGUUUCGGGGGUGGCCCGAGCCCGCCGAGCUGCCCGGGGGCGGCCGGCCGGCGGGGCCCUCGCCUCGGGGUGCCCGGUGGCGAACGGUCCCGGCGCUUUGGUACCACCAAAAAAAGGUAUAAUUACGCUACCGGGUAUAAAUUGACUCUGUGUACCACUGAAUCAUACUGAAUAUUUGUAAUGUGUUCCUUCCCUAAUAGAUGCUCUCUAUGAAUAGAGAGAGCGCCUAUUUACUCUGAAAUAUUUGGCACAGCGGCCGGAGUCUGAAGCGUGGAAGAAGUGGCUAUUAUUUUCCCACUGCGUGUGUGCAGCUGUCAUUUCUGAGCAACACGUUCCUCGCAUAUCCCUGCUUCCCAACCUUGCUGAUGGUCCACCCCAGGAUCGCAACAAGAAGAGGCUGGCAUGCCACCGCACUCAGCCAAAACCUUAACGCUGUGGCAUAGAAAGUGCUCUGAAGUAGACUACUUGCUGGACUUCUACUCAUCCUUUUCUGGAGGGAUGCGUGAGCUCGUGAAUCAACAAAGGCGAAGCAAAAUAGAAAACUACAUUUCGCAGGAGCUGUCAAGCAAGUUAUCCACGUUGUGCCAUUUGUAUUGCUUUGUUAGAGUGAGGCACGCGGUGCGAGCCUUCCACUUUGGAGCUGUGACAGUUCAUAUCAGCUAAUCUUGCCAAUGAGAGGCAUUGGCUCUUCUCCAAAGUGAACCAGAAUAAGAAGGCUGGGUGGUUCAAUGGAUGGCAUAGGGUCUAUGGAAAUGUUCGUUGCUGAACUGGUGGACCUAGUCCAAGUUCCUCGAGAUACUCGGUCAGAUUCUCUGCUAGCGUCAGUUGGGCAGAUUCACUGAAUGCACUGUUGGCCAUCAAAAUACUUGGACUUGAGAAGCCCAAGUCCGUUGAGCUAAAGCUACUCAGCACUAUGAGCAAAGCCAAACCAUCAGAUAUGAUUCCCAUUAGCAGAUCUGAGUUCUGUUGUUUUCCAUAAUUGUCAUUAU